GGAAGCGUGGCUCGAGAGGUUGAAGGCACCGCUCUUGAAAAGCGGAACCCGCGCAAGUGGGUCGUGAGUUCGAAUCUCACCGCUUCCGCAA
This 91-nucleotide transfer RNA is filed under the name Candidatus Nomurabacteria bacterium RIFCSPLOWO2_01_FULL_40_18. RNAcentral's name for it is "tRNA-Ser". It matches the Rfam family "tRNA". Rfam says of the family: Transfer RNA (tRNA) molecules are approximately 80 nucleotides in length. Their secondary structure includes four short double-helical elements and three loops (D, anti-codon, and T loops). Lineage: Bacteria; Candidatus Nomuraibacteriota. The record is from RNAcentral.